CGGAGGAUCCAAGCGUUAUCCGGAAUCAUUGGGUUUAGAGGGUCCGUAGGCGGGUUUAUAAGUCAGUGGUGAAAGCCCAUCGCUCAACGAUGGAACGGCCAUUGAUACUGUAGAUCUUGAAUUAUUAGGAAGUAACUAGAAUAUGUAGUGUAGCGGUGAAAUGCUUAGAGAUUACAUGGAAUACCAAUUGCGAAGGCAGGUUACUACUAAUGGAUUGACGCUGAUGGACGAAAGCGUGGGUAGCGAACAGGAUUAGAUACCCUGGUAGUCCACGCCGUAAACGAUGGAUACUAGCUGUUCGGAGCAAUCUGAGUGGCUAAGCGAAAGUGAUAAGUAUCCCACCUGGGGAGUACGUUCGCAAGAAUG
Molecule: ribosomal RNA, 366 nt
Filed under: uncultured organism
Description: bacterial SSU rRNA
Rfam family: Bacterial small subunit ribosomal RNA
Source: RNAcentral